UACGGAGGGUGCGAGCGUUGUCCGGAAUCAUUGGGCGUAAAGGGCGCGUAGGUGGCCCGGUCAGUCCGUGGUGAAAGCGCGGGGCUCAACCCCGCGUCGGCCAUGGAUACUGCUGGGCUGGAGCACUGUAGAGGCAGGCGGAAUUCCGGGUGUAGCGGUGGAAUGCGUAGAGAUCCGGAAGAACACCGGUGGCGAAGGCGGCCUGCUGGGCAGUUUUGCUGACACUGAGGCGCGACAGCGUGGGGAGCAAACAGG
RNAcentral lists this ribosomal RNA (255 nucleotides) under uncultured bacterium. RNAcentral describes it as "partial 16S ribosomal RNA". It matches the Rfam family "Bacterial small subunit ribosomal RNA", at positions 524 to 776 of the family's 1533-position model. The record is from RNAcentral.